Molecule: ribosomal RNA, 351 nt
Filed under: Triticum aestivum (bread wheat)
Lineage: Eukaryota; Viridiplantae; Streptophyta; Magnoliopsida; Poales; Poaceae
Description: partial small subunit ribosomal RNA
Source: RNAcentral
AUGCAAGACUACUUCGAGAAGAAUCCAACAUAUCCACCGCACCUCUUCCGGAGAAGGUACCGAACGCGUCGAUCCUUCUUUGUGAAAAUUGUUCAAACUUGCGAGGCAAAUUGUCGGUAUUUUACUCAGAGAACAACUGUUGCGGGCUUGAAGGGAUUUAGUGCAUAUCAAAAGGGAGGCAUGAACUUGGAGUUCUUUUACGACAAUGUGGGUAGCCGUGUCAAACCAGCUAGAGACCCUGACCGCAUUAAAGCUUUUCUUGAAACAUACAAGGAGAUUGAAAAUGCAAACACCCACUUUCAGCUUCAGGAGGAUCUCAUUGAGCACCAUUGGCAAAGGGCUAGACAGUAA